CUGUUUAAUAGUCUCCGAGCUAUUCCACCUAAGGGAACAGUCCUAUGGUGGCUAGCCUGGGCUGAAGCCCACGGGGUACACCAAGUGCUUACCAGCACGGCGGAAACGGGUGUGCCUCCACGUUUUGGGAAGGAGAUGUGCCUUGCCGUGA
RNAcentral lists this non-coding RNA (151 nucleotides) under Clostridiales bacterium PH28_bin88. RNAcentral describes it as "Molybdenum/Tungsten riboswitch aptamer (Moco RNA motif)". It matches the Rfam family "Molybdenum/Tungsten riboswitch aptamer (Moco RNA motif)". The record is from Rfam by way of RNAcentral. Lineage: Bacteria; Bacillati; Bacillota; Clostridia; Eubacteriales. RNAcentral also lists the same sequence under 1 other name.